GAUGAACGCUGGCGGCGUGCCUAAUACAUGCAAGUCGAGCGAACAGACGAGGAGCUUGCUCCUCUGACGUUAGCGGCGGACGGGUGAGUAACACGUGGAUAACCUACCUAUAAGACUGGGAUAACUUCGGGAAACCGUAGCUAAUACCGGAUAAUAUAUUGAACCGCAUGGUUCAAUAGUGAAAGACGGUUUUGCUGUCACUUAUAGAUGGAUCCGCGCCGCAUUAGCUAGUUGGUAAGGUAACGGCUUACCAAGGCAACGAUGCGUAGCCGACCUGAGAGGGUGAUCGGCCACACUGGAACUGAGGCACGGUCCAGACUCCUACGGGAGGCAGCAGUAGGGAAUCUUCCGCAAUGGGCGAAAGCCUGACGGAGCAACGCCGCGUGAGUGAUGAAGGUCUUCGGAUCGUAAAACUCUGUUAUUAGGGAAGAACAAAUGUGUAAGUAACUAUGCACGUCUUGACGGUACCUAAUCAGAAAGCCACGGCUAACUACGUG
Molecule: ribosomal RNA, 497 nt
Filed under: uncultured bacterium
Lineage: Bacteria
Description: partial 16S ribosomal RNA
Rfam family: Bacterial small subunit ribosomal RNA
Source: RNAcentral